GGUCAUUUGGCCGAGUUGGUCUAAGGCGGCGGUCUUAAGAUCCUCUAUCGCGAGAUGCGUGGGUUCGAAUCCCACAGUGACCA
Molecule: transfer RNA, 83 nt
Organism: Puccinia graminis f. sp. tritici
Lineage: Eukaryota; Fungi; Basidiomycota; Pucciniomycetes; Pucciniales; Pucciniaceae
Rfam family: tRNA
About the family: Transfer RNA (tRNA) molecules are approximately 80 nucleotides in length. Their secondary structure includes four short double-helical elements and three loops (D, anti-codon, and T loops). Further hydrogen bonds mediate the characteristic L-shaped molecular structure. tRNAs have two regions of fundamental functional importance: the anti-codon, which is responsible for specific mRNA codon recognition, and the 3' end, to which the tRNAs corresponding amino acid is attached (by aminoacyl-tRNA synthetases). tRNAs cope with the degeneracy of the genetic code in two manners: having more than one tRNA (with a specific anti-codon) for a particular amino acid; and 'wobble' base-pairing, i.e. permitting non-standard base-pairing at the 3rd anti-codon position.
Source: Rfam